AUGGCACCACAUUUAUUGGAAGAAAGACUGCAACUGGGGAGGAAGAGUCUCACAGAGCUCCCCCAGAGGGAAGUAGUCUGCAAGUUGAAAAAAUAUCCUGAAAGAGGGCAACAGCAUAUUUUCUAUUGGAUCUCUUUCUUCUGAAUAUAAUAGCCAUCCAGUGCUGAGUGCCAAAUGUGAGUAUCAUCACAUCACGUUUCAGUGAUGGUUAUUUCAUCAUAUUUGACUUCCAUUUUGAAUCUUCCAUUUCUAAUCUAAUUUCCCAUACUCUCUGUGCAACUGUACAAACACCUGAGGUUUUCAGCGUUAUCAUCUCCUGGCAUCUCUGUUAGAGUGUCCUGCCAAACUGCAUUUUAUCUUCCCUUGGCCUGUUCAUAGAGGAAUUGCUGUGAUGAAUAGCACAGAUGUUACCCAGAAAGCAAACUGGUGAGGCUAUUCCCUGCCAACACCUCUAACCACCAGUAUGUGUAUGUGUGUGUGCGCGCACGCAUGCGCGCAAAGCAGGAGCAACGUCGUCAUAAUAAAACAAUUGAUAAUAUGCAACAUCUUAAAUGAGAAUAAGACAGCUUUUAUGUGUUAUUUAUGAAACACCCAAAAUACUAGAAACAAUGGCAAAGAAGUGCAGUGUCAUAUUUUAAUUAAAC
Molecule: non-coding RNA, 644 nt
Organism: Python bivittatus (Burmese python)
Lineage: Eukaryota; Metazoa; Chordata; Lepidosauria; Squamata; Pythonidae
Source: RefSeq, a predicted model, not a curated record